This 2925-nucleotide ribosomal RNA is filed under the name Escherichia coli. RNAcentral's name for it is "23S ribosomal RNA". It matches the Rfam family "Bacterial large subunit ribosomal RNA". Lineage: Bacteria; Pseudomonadati; Pseudomonadota; Gammaproteobacteria; Enterobacterales; Enterobacteriaceae. The record is from RNAcentral.
GGGUUGUGAGGUUAAGCGACUAAGCGUACACGGUGGAUGCCCUGGCAGUCAGAGGCGAUGAAGGACGUGCUAAUCUGCGAUAAGCGUCGGUAAGGUGAUAUGAACCGUUAUAACCGGCGAUUUCCGAAUGGGGAAACCCAGUGUGAUUCGUCACACUAUCAUUAACUGAAUCCAUAGGUUAAUGAGGCGAACCGGGGGAACUGAAACAUCUAAGUACCCCGAGGAAAAGAAAUCAACCGAGAUUCCCCCAGUAGCGGCGAGCGAACGGGGAGCAGCCCAGAGCCUGAAUCAGUGUGUGUGUUAGUGGAAGCGUCUGGAAAGGCGCGCGAUACAGGGUGACAGCCCCGUACACAAAAAUGCACAUGCUGUGAGCUCGAUGAGUAGGGCGGGACACGUGGUAUCCUGUCUGAAUAUGGGGGGACCAUCCUCCAAGGCUAAAUACUCCUGACUGACCGAUAGUGAACCAGUACCGUGAGGGAAAGGCGAAAAGAACCCCGGCGAGGGGAGUGAAAAAGAACCUGAAACCGUGUACGUACAAGCAGUGGGAGCACGCUUAGGCGUGUGACUGCGUACCUUUUGUAUAAUGGGUCAGCGACUUAUAUUCUGUAGCAAGGUUAACCGAAUAGGGGAGCCGAAGGGAAACCGAGUCUUAACUGGGCGUUAAGUUGCAGGGUAUAGACCCGAAACCCGGUGAUCUAGCCAUGGGCAGGUUGAAGGUUGGGUAACACUAACUGGAGGACCGAACCGACUAAUGUUGAAAAAUUAGCGGAUGACUUGUGGCUGGGGGUGAAAGGCCAAUCAAACCGGGAGAUAGCUGGUUCUCCCCGAAAGCUAUUUAGGUAGCGCCUCGUGAAUUCAUCUCCGGGGGUAGAGCACUGUUUCGGCAAGGGGGUCAUCCCGACUUACCAACCCGAUGCAAACUGCGAAUACCGGAGAAUGUUAUCACGGGAGACACACGGCGGGUGCUAACGUCCGUCGUGAAGAGGGAAACAACCCAGACCGCCAGCUAAGGUCCCAAAGUCAUGGUUAAGUGGGAAACGAUGUGGGAAGGCCCAGACAGCCAGGAUGUUGGCUUAGAAGCAGCCAUCAUUUAAAGAAAGCGUAAUAGCUCACUGGUCGAGUCGGCCUGCGCGGAAGAUGUAACGGGGCUAAACCAUGCACCGAAGCUGCGGCAGCGACGCUUAUGCGUUGUUGGGUAGGGGAGCGUUCUGUAAGCCUGUGAAGGUGUACUGUGAGGUAUGCUGGAGGUAUCAGAAGUGCGAAUGCUGACAUAAGUAACGAUAAAGCGGGUGAAAAGCCCGCUCGCCGGAAGACCAAGGGUUCCUGUCCAACGUUAAUCGGGGCAGGGUGAGUCGACCCCUAAGGCGAGGCCGAAAGGCGUAGUCGAUGGGAAACAGGUUAAUAUUCCUGUACUUGGUGUUACUGCGAAGGGGGGACGGAGAAGGCUAUGUUGGCCGGGCGACGGUUGUCCCGGUUUAAGCGUGUAGGCUGGUUUUCCAGGCAAAUCCGGAAAAUCAAGGCUGAGGCGUGAUGACGAGGCACUACGGUGCUGAAGCAACAAAUGCCCUGCUUCCAGGAAAAGCCUCUAAGCAUCAGGUAACAUCAAAUCGUACCCCAAACCGACACAGGUGGUCAGGUAGAGAAUACCAAGGCGCUUGAGAGAACUCGGGUGAAGGAACUAGGCAAAAUGGUGCCGUAACUUCGGGAGAAGGCACGCUGAUAUGUAGGUGAAGUCCCUCGCGGAUGGAGCUGAAAUCAGUCGAAGAUACCAGCUGGCUGCAACUGUUUAUUAAAAACACAGCACUGUGCAAACACGAAAGUGGACGUAUACGGUGUGACGCCUGCCCGGUGCCGGAAGGUUAAUUGAUGGGGUCAGCGCAAGCGAAGCUCUUGAUCGAAGCCCCGGUAAACGGCGGCCGUAACUAUAACGGUCCUAAGGUAGCGAAAUUCCUUGUCGGGUAAGUUCCGACCUGCACGAAUGGCGUAAUGAUGGCCAGGCUGUCUCCACCCGAGACUCAGUGAAAUUGAACUCGCUGUGAAGAUGCAGUGUACCCGCGGCAAGACGGAAAGACCCCGUGAACCUUUACUAUAGCUUGACACUGAACAUUGAGCCUUGAUGUGUAGGAUAGGUGGGAGGCUUUGAAGUGUGGACGCCAGUCUGCAUGGAGCCGACCUUGAAAUACCACCCUUUAAUGUUUGAUGUUCUAACGUUGACCCGUGAUCCGGGUUGCGGACAGUGUCUGGUGGGUAGUUUGACUGGGGCGGUCUCCUCCUAAAGAGUAACGGAGGAGCACGAAGGUUGGCUAAUCCUGGUCGGACAUCAGGAGGUUAGUGCAAUGGCAUAAGCCAGCUUGACUGCGAGCGUGACGGCGCGAGCAGGUGCGAAAGCAGGUCAUAGUGAUCCGGUGGUUCUGAAUGGAAGGGCCAUCGCUCAACGGAUAAAAGGUACUCCGGGGAUAACAGGCUGAUACCGCCCAAGAGUUCAUAUCGACGGCGGUGUUUGGCACCUCGAUGUCGGCUCAUCACAUCCUGGGGCUGAAGUAGGUCCCAAGGGUAUGGCUGUUCGCCAUUUAAAGUGGUACGCGAGCUGGGUUUAGAACGUCGUGAGACAGUUCGGUCCCUAUCUGCCGUGGGCGCUGGAGAACUGAGGGGGGCUGCUCCUAGUACGAGAGGACCGGAGUGGACGCAUCACUGGUGUUCGGGUUGUCAUGCCAAUGGCACUGCCCGGUAGCUAAAUGCGGAAGAGAUAAGUGCUGAAAGCAUCUAAGCACGAAACUUGCCCCGAGAUGAGUUCUCCCUGACCCUUUAAGGGUCCUGAAGGAACGUUGAAGACGACGACGUUGAUAGGCCGGGUGUGUAAGCGCAGCGAUGCGUUGAGCUAACCGGUACUAAUGAACCGUGAGGCUUAACCUUACAACGCCGAAG